Molecule: ribosomal RNA, 305 nt
Filed under: uncultured bacterium
Lineage: Bacteria
Description: bacterial SSU rRNA
Rfam family: Bacterial small subunit ribosomal RNA
Source: RNAcentral
UACCUACGGGGGGCAGCAGUGAGGAAUAUUGGUCAAUGGGCGCGAGCCUGAACCAGCCAAGUAGCGUGAAGGAUGACUGCCCUACGGGUUGUAAACUUCUUUUAUAAAGGAAUAAAGUGAGGCACGUGUGCCUUUUUGUAUGUACUUUAUGAAUAAGGAUCGGCUAACUCCGUGCCAGCAGCCGCGGUAAUACGGAGGAUCCGAGCGUUAUCCGGAUUUAUUGGGUUUAAAGGGUGCGUAGGCGGGCUGUUAAGUCAGCGGUCAAAUGUCGGGGCUCAACCCCGGCCUGCCGUUGAAACUGGCGG